This is a long non-coding RNA of Perca fluviatilis (European perch), 173 nucleotides long. RefSeq lists it as uncharacterized. NCBI's taxonomy places the organism in Eukaryota, Metazoa, Chordata, Actinopteri, Perciformes, Percidae. The transcript is spliced from 3 exons. The record is from RefSeq and is a predicted model, not a curated record.
GGUUCCUUACCCAAAAUACAUGGUGCACAUUGACACCAAUCACAAGCUCAUCAGAUGAUGUACCUCAAGGUAGCAGACAACAACUGAUCUGAUACACACCUGGCAUUCUUCAAUGAAGCUGUGAAUGAGCAUGGGUUUCCUCUGAGAGUGAGAGGAGAUCACGGAGGAGAAAA